CCCCUGUGCCCGGGAGUCAUGAGCUGCCCUCAGCACCCGCAGACCCGCCGGAGCAGCCUCCUGGCCGCAGCCCCCUGGCACUGUUAGGCUUCCCUGCUCCCCUGGAAGGUGCUCAUUGCUGACGAGGAGAACCAGCUGCGCCCACACCCAGCCUCCAGCAUCCCUCCCAAGGUUCCUUGCCUUGCCAGCAGGUCCUUGUAGGAUUUCGGCUCUGGGCUGUGUGUCUGAGGCUGAGCCAGGUGCCCCCCUGCUCCGUGUUGGGUCCCAUGAGACAGGCAGGACCACCCUGUCCUUCCCACCCGGGGCCACAGCACCCCCCUCUGCCCCCGCUGACCAGGACACCUCUCCAGCACCCCGAAGGAAGCUGCAGAGCUCUGCUGCCACGUGCAUGAGUGGAAAGCAGAGGAGAGGCCAAAGCCCAGUGUGCCCCUGGCAUCCGGUCCCCCAGCAUCCUGCCUUCAUCUGACCCAGGUGCUCUGUGUGGAUUGGACUCUGGGAAAAGCUGUGUGCGAAGGAUGCUUGGUCAGAGGAGCUCCCAC
RNAcentral lists this long non-coding RNA (539 nucleotides) under Manacus vitellinus (golden-collared manakin). RNAcentral's name for it is "lncRNA (ENSMVIG00005013901.1)". The record is from RNAcentral. Lineage: Eukaryota; Metazoa; Chordata; Aves; Passeriformes; Pipridae.